UCGACAGGUUCCGUAGGUGACUGCCGAAAGGAUCAUCAAGUGAAAUAACCUGAUGGGUUUUGCUGUUUUCUAGGGAGCAUGGUGCACACCUGGUCAUCUUUAUAUCUCCACCUGUGCACNUGUUGUAGACCUUUCAGGUCUAUGUUGCUUCAUUGUACCCCCAAUGUAUGUUAAUAGAAUGUUGUGCCUAUGANAUAUACACAACUGUCUCAGCAACCGGAUCUCAUGUGGCUCUCGCAUCGAUGAAGAACGCAGCGAAAUGCGACUAAGUAAUCGUGAAUUGCAGAAUUCAGUGAAUCAUCGAAUCUUUGAACGCACCUUGCGCUCCUUGGUAUUCCGAGGAGCAUGCCUGUUUGAGUGUCAUUAAUAUAUCAACCUUCGUCUUCGUUGAGUGGCUUUAGGAUGUGGGAGGUUUCGCUGGCCUGCUUGAAAGAGGUUAUAGCUCUCCUCGAAAUGCAUUAGCGGAACAAACCUCUGUUCACUGUGGUGUGAUAAACUAUGCUACGCUAUUGAAUGUGAUAGGCGCAGUUUGGCUUUCUAACUAGUUCCCUUGGGAACCAAAGNUUCAUCAUUAAUGUGACCUCAAAUCAGGUACGGACUACCCCGCUGAACUUUAAGCCAUAUCAAUAAGCGGAGGAAAAGAAACUGAACAACGGAUUCCCCUACGUAACCUCGCCGAGUGAAGCGGGAAAAGCUCAAAUUUAAAAUCUGGCGUCUUUCGCUGUACCCGUUCCUGUG
This 738-nucleotide ribosomal RNA is filed under the name uncultured Cortinarius. Its description in RNAcentral is "eukaryotic LSU rRNA". The stretch from base 205 to 363 matches the Rfam family "5.8S ribosomal RNA". Lineage: Eukaryota; Fungi; Basidiomycota; Agaricomycetes; Agaricales; Cortinariaceae. The record is from RNAcentral.